RNAcentral lists this long non-coding RNA (3322 nucleotides) under Homo sapiens (human). Its description in RNAcentral is "non-protein coding lnc-SNPH-6:5". Lineage: Eukaryota; Metazoa; Chordata; Mammalia; Primates; Hominidae. The record is from RNAcentral.
GUUGCUGGAACCUCUGUGAAAGCAGAGGAAGCUGGAAAGGAUGUAAUACAGUAGCUGCUGAUGAUCAUCUUGCCACCAUAGGGCUCUUUCAGAUCUUCAAGAAUGUUUAAGCAUACAAAGAAGCCCCGAGACCACAAGGGUGAGAACUACCAUCCUCCCCGCUCUCCGGAUGCUCCCACAGCCUGGGCUCCCCAGUGCAGCUGGAUCACCUUCUCCUGCUCUCAGACAAUGGAGCUCUUGGUUCUCAGGCUUUUGGACUCUAAGGCUUAUAUCAAUAGCCUCCCACCCCCAGAUUCUCAGACCUUAGGCCUUGGAGUGGGAGUUACACCACUGGCUUCCCUGAUUCUCAGGCUCUCAGACUUCAACUGAAUUACAUCACCAUCUUUCCUGGUUCUUCAGCUUGUAAAUAGUAUGUCAUGGGACUUCUUGGCCUCUGUAAUUGCAUGAAACAAUUCCCAUAAUAAAUCUUCUCUAUAUGUAUUGCAUUGGUUCUGUUUCUCUGGAGAACUCUGACUAAUAUAAUUCCUAAGAGUGGAAUUUCUGGGUCAUAUGUAAUUCUAUGUUUAGCUUUUUGAGGAGCCACCAAAUUGUUUUCCACAGCAACUUCCAACAGUGACAAGGGUUUCUUUUUUCUUUUAUAGGUUCAGUAUUCUUUAUUAUAAACAAUCAGACAACAGUGUAAGUGUGCAUUUGAUGGAUAACCGAAGCCAAGUUAUUAUAAUAGAAAGCAUGACUUCGCUCAAAUAGAGUUUCUUUGUUGUUGUUGAUCUGUUUUACAUUAAUUUGAAUUUAACAUAUGCUAGGAUCACCUAAAUUUGUCAUACAGUUCUGCUAUUAAAAUUGUAACAGGGAAAGACAAAAUGUGAAAUGCAUGUUAUAUUUUGCUUUAUUUGUUGAAUAUCUAUCUAUCUAUCUACACUAAAUAUUUGGGACACAUUCAGAGUUAAGCAGGUGCUUAAAGUCUAUCAAGUGAUAUUUAUAAAAUGUUUUUGUUGCUGUUAUGGGAACAUCCAUAUCCUUAGAAGCCAAUAAAAAAGAGGAUUCUAAAUGCUAGGUGGUUGGCUAAAUGUUCCUGAUUUAUACUGAGUGUAAAACAAAAUAAAACAAAACAUAAGGUAUAUGUGUUAAGUAGUGACAUCUACAUAGUUCCAAAGCACUGGCAACUAUUAAAAUAUCAUCCAGCUAAAACAAACUUUUCACAAUUUUUUUUAACAGAAAAAUAAUAAACCAACAACAAAAACUGGUAAAUGUUCUGGGUCUUGUGAGCAGACCAAAAUGUUACUACAGUGUUCUCUAUUGUGUGAUCCCAGUGUACAAGUUUCUAUUUCUCCAUAUCCUUAUCAACAUUUGCUAUUUUCCAUGUUUUUGAUUAUAGUUAUCCUAGCGGGUGUGAAGUGGUUUAUCUCUUGCAGGUGUUAAGUGGUAUCCCACUGUGGUUUUCAUUUGCAUUUCUUUAGUAACAAAUGAUGCUGAACAUGCUUUCAUGUGCUUAUUGGCCAUUUGUAUGUCUUCUCUGGAGAUAUGUCUAUUCAGGUUCUUUGCCUAUUUCUUAAUUUUUUUUUUUUUUUUUGUGGUUGAGUUUUAAGUGUUCUUUAUAUAUUCUGGAUACAAGUCCAUUAUUUGCAAAUACUUUCUCUCAUUUUGUGGGCUGUGUUUCUACUUUCUAGAUAAUAUAUUUUAUUGUGCAAAUGGUUUUACUUUUUAUGAAGUCUAAUUUAUCCAUUUCUUCCUUUUGUUGCUCAUGCUUUUGGUGUCAAAUCUAAGAAUCCAUUGCCAAGUCUGAGGUUAUAAAUAUUUACUCCUAUGUUUUUCUCUAAAUAGUUUACCCCUAUGUUUUCCUCUUGUAUUUGGGUCAUUGAUCCAUUUUGAGUUAAUUUUUGUGUAUGGAGUGAGGUACGGGUCCAGCUUCAUUCUUUUGCCUGUGAUUAUGCAGUUGCCCCGGCACUGUUUGUUGAAGAGACUAUUCUUUCCCCAUUGAGUUGUGCUGAACACUUAUUGAAAAUCAAUUAGCCAUAGAUAUUUAUUUCUAGGCUGUCAAUUAUAUUCCACUGGUGUAUAUGUCUGUCCUUAUGUCAGUACCACACUGGUUUGAUUAUAGAAGUUUGGAGCAUGUUUGGAAAUCUGGAAGCAUGAGCCCUGAAACUUUGUGUUUCUUUUUCUUUCUUUUUUGGUGUGUUUCUUUUUCAAUAGUAUUUUGACUACUUGGGGUUCAUUCCAGUUCCACAUAAAUUUGAGGAUUAGUUUUUCUAUUUCCUUAGGAAAUGCCAUUGGAAUUUUGAUAGGGGUUGCAUUGAAUCUGUGGAUCAUUUGCAAUUAAUAUUCCAAUACAUCAACAUGUGUUGUCUUCCAUUUAUUUAGGUCUUCUUUAAUUUCUUUCAGCAAUGUUUUGUAGUUUUCAGCAUAGAAGUCUUUCUCCUUGGUUUAAGUAUUUUACUCUUUUGGAUGCUGUUAUAAAUGGAAUUGUUACUUAAUUUCAUUUUCAGACUGUUCAUUGCUGAUGCAUAGAAAAUGGACUUUCGUGCACUGAUCUUGCAAUCUGCAACUAUGUUGAAUUUGUUUAUUGGCUCUAGUAGUUGUGUGCAUUUUGGUAUUGUUAUAUUUUCUAUACAUAGAAUUAUUUCAUCUUCAAAUAGAGAUAACUUUACUGCUUCCUUUCCAGUUUGGAGGCUGUUUAUUGCUUUUUCUUGCCUAACUGCUCUGGCUAGGACUUCCAGUACAAUAUUUAAUAGUAGUGGUAAAAAUGGGCAUUCUUGUCUUGUUCCUGCUCAGUGGGGAAGCUUCUGCUCUUUUACCAUUGAGUAUAAUGUGAGUUGUGGGUUUUGUGUAAGUGACCUUUAUCAUGUUAAGGAAGUUCUCUGUAUUCUGAUUUGUUGGUGAGUGUUUGUAUCCUGAAAGUGUUUGAAGUGUUGAAUUUUGUUGCAUGCAUUUAAUGUAUCUAUUGUGAUAUCAUUUCCCUCUUUACAGAGUUGUGUUACAUUGAUGGAUUUUUUUUUUUCUUAUGUUGAGCCACCCUUGCAUUUCUGGGAGAAAUCCCACUUGGUCAUGAUCUAUAAUCCUUUGAAUGUGCUACUGGAUUUGGUUUGCUAUUUUGUUGAGGAUUUUUUGAGUCUAUAUUCAUAAGAUAUACCGGACAGUCGUUUUGUCUGCCUUUGAUAUCAAGGUAACGGUGGACUCAUAGAAUCAUACCUUUGAUAUCAAGGUAACGGUGGACUCAUAGAUAUUCUGCAUUUAUAUUUUUGUAAUCACAAUUUGUAAAGAAUUCUCAAAAUCCAACAGUAAGAAAACAAAUAAUCCAAUAAACAAAAAGGCAAGGACUCUUUUU